CUGGCGGCGUGCCUAAUACAUGCAAGUCGAGCGAAUGGAUUAAGAGCUUGCUCUUAUGAAGUUAGCGGCGGACGGGUGAGUAACACGUGGGUAACCUGCCCAUAAGACUGGGAUAACUCCGGGAAACCGGGGCUAAUACCGGAUAACAUUUUGAACCGCAUGGUUCGAAAUUGAAAGGCGGCUUCGGCUGUCACUUAUGGAUGGACCCGCGUCGCAUUAGCUAGUUGGUGAGGUAACGGCUCACCAAGGCAACGAUGCGUAGCCGACCUGAGAGGGUGAUCGGCCACACUGGGACUGAGACACGGCCCAGACUCCUACGGGAGGCAGCAGUAGGGAAUCUUCCGCAAUGGACGAAAGUCUGACGGAGCAACGCCGCGUGAGUGAUGAAGGCUUUCGGGUCGUAAAACUCUGUUGUUAGGGAAGAACAAGUGCUAGUUGAAUAAGCUGGCACCUUGACGGUACCUAACCAGAAAGCCACGGCUAACUACGUGCCAGCA
Molecule: ribosomal RNA, 497 nt
Filed under: Bacillus anthracis (anthrax bacterium)
Lineage: Bacteria; Bacillati; Bacillota; Bacilli; Caryophanales; Bacillaceae
Description: bacterial SSU rRNA
Rfam family: Bacterial small subunit ribosomal RNA
Source: RNAcentral